GACCGGAUGUAGUCCUGGAUGAUGGUCUUCCACUUCCGCCGGCACAGCCAGCCCCGCAGGAAGCUCUGCACCUGAGCAGCAAGACCGGUGGGGAGAGGCUCCUGUCAGGGAGUCUGGACCACUCCUGUCCUUCCAGGCUGUGAGCUCCCCAAGGUACCACCACGUCCUAAGUUUGGAGUCUGGAAGAACUGCAUCUGGGAGCUGCUUUCCCUGCCUGUCAUGUGGCUCCCCAAUCCUGCAGGAGCCCAGGGUUUGAGAUGUUGUGCCUAGGGCCUGGGCCCACCCCCCAGCCCGCAGUCACCUCUGCCUUCAGCCGCUCGAUCUCGAUCUCCCCAUCCUCGAUCUGCUGCCGAAGCUGCUUGGCCACGGUCUUCUCUGUCUCCACGAUCUGCAGCAGGUGCAGGUAUUUCUGCAUUAAUGCCUCAUGCUCUGUGGCGAGGGUCCUGUAGCUGUGGACAGAUGGACAUGGCAGGUUGAAUGGGAGACAUUCCUGGGAGGCCAGUGGGCUGACCCAGACCCCAGGGCUUGACAAAGGAAGAAGGCAAACAAUCAGCAUGUCCCAUCAUUCCACCAUUGUCCCAUUGACACGUGCUGCUGGCUUCCAAAAGGAUGAUGCAUAUGGAGAGGUUUUUGUUCACAGCUCCAAGGCUUUCUGGUUCUCAUGGCUGAAGUUCACCGUGAAGUAAUGCUGUAUCAAGAAG
RNAcentral lists this long non-coding RNA (701 nucleotides) under Homo sapiens (human). Its description in RNAcentral is "HSALNT0223241". The record is from RNAcentral. Lineage: Eukaryota; Metazoa; Chordata; Mammalia; Primates; Hominidae.